RNAcentral lists this ribosomal RNA (433 nucleotides) under uncultured Adlercreutzia sp. RNAcentral describes it as "partial 16S ribosomal RNA". It matches the Rfam family "Bacterial small subunit ribosomal RNA", at positions 341 to 792 of the family's 1533-position model. Lineage: Bacteria; Bacillati; Actinomycetota; Coriobacteriia; Eggerthellales; Eggerthellaceae. The record is from RNAcentral.
ACGGAAGGCAGCAGUGGGGAAUUUUGCGCAAUGGGGGAAACCCUGACGCAGCAACGCCGCGUGCGGGACGGAGGCCUUCGGGCUGUAAACCGCUUUCAGCAGGGAAGACAACGACGGUACCUGCAGAAGAAGCUCCGGCUAACUACGUGCCAGCAGCCGCGGUAAUACGUAGGGGGCGAGCGUUAUCCGGAUUCAUUGGGCGUAAAGCGCGCGUAGGCGGCUGCCUAAGCGGAGUUUCUAACCUUGGGGCUCAACCUCAAGCCGGACUCCGAACUGGGCGGCUCGAGUGCGGUAGGGGCAGGCGGAAUUCCACGUGUAGCGGUGAAAUGCGCAGAUAUGUGGAGGAACACCGAUGGCGAAGGCAGCCUGCUGGGCCGACACUGACGCUGAGGCGCGAAAGCCGGGGGAGCGGACAGGAUUAGAUACCCUGGUA